Molecule: long non-coding RNA, 1836 nt
Organism: Lycium ferocissimum
Lineage: Eukaryota; Viridiplantae; Streptophyta; Magnoliopsida; Solanales; Solanaceae
Exons: 2
Source: RefSeq, a predicted model, not a curated record
GCUUACGCACGACGAAGGGCAAUUCCGUGAAUAUCACAUGUUUUAUGGGAAAUUGGUAAUCCCGUGUCAUUCCUUAAGGACAUGUGUAUUGGAACAUUAGAUAACACGUGUACUGUCAAAGUCUUGCUCUUCUCGCUUAUGCUUUUGAGUUUUGUCCUUCCAAUUUCAUUUUUUUCCCUCAAAUCUCUCACUCUUUGUGGCGUUUACCUUUUCAAGUGUGAUUUGGGUUGCCAUGCAUAUUCUUUUUGGAAAGCUAUUUGAUGCGGUGAGAAAGCUAACUGAAAGGGAAAAAGAAAAUGUAAAGCGUCCAUCUUGGAAAACCAUGUAGCAAGAUAUAUUAGAAAGCCUGGAAACAUAAUAGAGCUAGAAUAAUCUUAUUAUUUACCUUGAUUCUGAUUUGCCAUGCCAAUUUUUCAUUUGCGGCUAUGAAAAAAUAUAACUUUUUUGUUUUCAUCUCCCAUCAAUUUCUUGUGUUUUCAUUUUUUGAACUGAUUUUUGAAUAUGUUCAACUCUGGGUAAUUUGAUUCUAAUAGAUGAGUUCUUGAACUAAUAUUUAUCCCAGGUUGUAUUUCGCACUGGUUAUACGGGUGACUCAGCUAUCUUCGGCUAUAGGCCAACAUCUCAUAUCAACUUCUUACAAGAGACUAAUUUUUUCCUAAAUAGUUGUUUGAUUCAAGUUAUUUGCACUUUGUUAAUUGUUACCCAGAGAGGUAAUCUUGGGAAUUCUUUUGCAGCUUGUUGCUUGCCUAAUUAUAAUUGUUUGUUUGGAAAUGUUGCUUUAUUAUUACUAAGACAUCAAUCUCAGAUAUUCAACUAUAUAUUAGAAUGAGGUGGUAGUGGUAAUCUACUUAACAAAUGAACAAGUUUUUAUUUAUCUUCUCCCAUUUCUCUUCCUUUUUUUCAAGCAUACAAUCUUAGCAAGACAGUAUUUUUUUUAAAAUUGAACAAGACAGUAAACAGUUUUCUUCUUCCAUAGAAACUCUUUCUCUUCUCCCGAAUCUUCUCAUCUCUCUUUGUCAAUUUUUAAUAACUUUUCCCUGCUGCUCUCUUCCGUCAUUGUUCUUUUCUUUAAUUUUACAAGUUAUUUUAUUUUAUUUAAAUGGUUUAACAAAAUGCAAAAGAAAAGGGUCUACUUAGUCUUGGUUCACGCUAAUUAAAAAAAAAAAUGUUAUAGUAGCAAUUAUGCUUGUAAGCUUGAGUUGAUGUACCUAUAUGAGUGUAAUUUUUUCUAUAUAAUAUUUUUCAACGUAAACCGAAAAGACAAAUUACCCAAUCCGCAAUCCAAAAUUGAUAAAACCGAUCAAACAUUUAAUUACUCUAUUAAUUGGACCGUGUAAAUUGCGAUACAUCUACAUUUAUAGCACAGUGGCAUCCAGAACCUCCAAAUUCUGGAUCCGCCUCUAUAAUAACUAUACAUCACGGAGAAAGUAAUGGACAUCCAUAUUAACUAUGUAUUAUAUUUGCAACAUAGAAUUAGAUCUUAAUUUGAAACAAAAAUUUAUAUUUCAGACAACUUGACUAAAACAAUGUAUUUCAUCUAAAAUAGGUCAUCUCUACUUACUUUUUCCUACUUGCUCCAACAUAUAUAAAACUUGGUCUUCACUUUUAGCUACUUAACUACAACUAAAUGCAUUCACAUGCUUCAUUCCCCAUACGCUACUGCCAGUCUGCCACCCAUAUUCAACGUAACGCAAGAUUUUUUUUUUUUUUUUUUUUUUGUUAAACAUUUUAUACAAAACAAAAUACUACAUUUAAUUUUGUAUGUCAUACCAUAUUGAUGCUUAUUUUAACUUUUUUUUAAGGCUUUUACUUAAUUUUACCACACAACAAACAAUC